UACGGGGGGGGCAAGCGUUGUUCGGAAUUACUGGGCGUAAAGCGCACGUAGGCGGCUUUCUAAGUCGGGGGUGAAAUCCUGGAGCUCAACUCCAGAACUGCCUUCGAUACUGGAGAGCUCGAGCCCGGGAGAGGUGAGUGGAACUGCGAGUGUAGAGGUGAAAUUCGUAGAUAUUCGCAAGAACACCAGUGGCGAAGGCGGCUCACUGGCCCGGCACUGACGCUGAGGUGCGAAAGCGUGGGGAGCAAACAGG
This 253-nucleotide ribosomal RNA is filed under the name uncultured bacterium. RNAcentral's name for it is "partial 16S ribosomal RNA". It matches the Rfam family "Bacterial small subunit ribosomal RNA", at positions 524 to 776 of the family's 1533-position model. The record is from RNAcentral.